This 501-nucleotide ribosomal RNA is filed under the name uncultured bacterium. Its description in RNAcentral is "partial 16S ribosomal RNA". It matches the Rfam family "Bacterial small subunit ribosomal RNA", at positions 30 to 523 of the family's 1533-position model. The record is from RNAcentral.
AUUGAACGCUGGCGGCAGGCUUAACACAUGCAAGUCGAGCGGGGGAAGGUAGCCUGCUACCGGACCUAGCGGCGGACGGGUGAGUAAUGCUUAGGAAUCUGCCUAUUAGUGGGGGACAACAUCUCGAAAGGGAUGCUAAUACCGCAUACGUCCUACGGGAGAAAGCAGGGGAUCUUCGGACCUUGCGCUAAUAGAUGAGCCUAAGUCGGAUUAGCUAGUUGGUGGGGUAAAGGCCUACCAAGGCGACGAUCUGUAGCGGGUCUGAGAGGAUGAUCCGCCACACUGGGACUGUGACACGGCCCAGACUCCUACGGGAGGCAGCAGUGGGGAAUAUUGGACAGUGGGGGGAACCCUGAUCCAGCCAUGCCGCGUGUGUGAAGAAGGCCUUAUGGUUGUAAAGCACUUUAAGCGAGGAGGAGGCUACUCUAGUUAAUACCUAGGGAUAGUGGACGUUACUCGCAGAAUAAGCACCGGCUAACUCUGUGCCAGCCGCCGCCGUAA